Molecule: long non-coding RNA, 647 nt
Filed under: Homo sapiens (human)
Lineage: Eukaryota; Metazoa; Chordata; Mammalia; Primates; Hominidae
Description: NUTM2A antisense RNA 1
Source: RNAcentral
GCCCGCCCGCAGGCCAGCUUCUCUCGGGAGCCUCCACCCAGGCGCAUGGCUCCAUGAAGCAAGAGGAGGAGGCAGAGCGCGAGAGAUCCCGUCCGCCCCAGCCGCGUCUGGGCCAGGAGAAAAGCAAAACCAUAUUCCUGCUGCUGUCAGUUUUGAUGCACUGAGAAAACUUCAGAGACCUAAGCUUUUUCCAGAGAAGAGAAGCUUUACUGGUGUUCCAGCCCUAAGGCUCAUAUGACAUUAACAGACAAGACACUUUUCAGAAAGACAGGGCCCUGCUAAGGAGUUUCAAUCUGCUUCAUGGACGUUCAACCUGCCUCUCCCCUUGUCUGGAAUGAUCUUCCUCUGAUGUUCCAUCCACCUUACUUUUUCUGAUCUCUUUAUUCAGUGUAGCUUUCAAUUCACCUCAAGCAACGUGUUGGACCUUCCGGAGCUUCUCAGAAGACAGAGGGUUUUCUUUUGAGACAAAUCAACUCAAUCAAAGAAACCAACUCAAAGAAAGAUGGGUCUACAUACAACAAAACUGAACAAAAUCUGCAAGAAGAGUGAUUCAUACAUGGGCUAUUGAGGCAACAUGAGAUGGACAUUAAUCGACUAAGUAAAAAACAGAUUUCUUGAAGAAUUAAUAAAGAACUUUUGUUUUGGAA